UCAAACUUGGUCAUUUAGAGGAAGUAAAAGUCGUAACAAGGUUUCCGUAGGUGAACCUGCGGAAGGAUCAUUGAUGAAUUCAAGGCGGCUUCGGAUUGUGCUGGCCCCUCGGGGCAUGUGCACGUCCGACGUCGUCAAUCUCACACACACACCGUGCACGCUUAGAGGGCACGGCGCGUUCCAAAGGGUUUGCCGGCGUCUCGUCGGCUCUCCCGGGGGUGCGUUGUCCUUCUACUUUUUCAUACACACCUCUGACCGGUCUCGCAUGUCUUUGAUGUAAUCAAUACAACUUUCAACAACGGAUCUCUUGGCUCUCGCAUCGAUGAAGAACGCAGC
This 336-nucleotide unclassified non-coding RNA is filed under the name uncultured fungus. RNAcentral describes it as "partial contains small subunit ribosomal RNA, internal transcribed spacer 1, and 5.8S ribosomal RNA". The stretch from base 1 to 73 matches the Rfam family "Eukaryotic small subunit ribosomal RNA", at positions 1759 to 1831 of the family's 1831-position model. Lineage: Eukaryota; Fungi. The record is from RNAcentral.